This 454-nucleotide ribosomal RNA is filed under the name uncultured bacterium. RNAcentral's name for it is "bacterial SSU rRNA". It matches the Rfam family "Bacterial small subunit ribosomal RNA", at positions 340 to 786 of the family's 1533-position model. The record is from RNAcentral.
UACGGAAGGCAGCAGUGGGGAAUAUUGCACAAUGGGCGCAAGCCUGAUGCAGCCAUGCCGCGUGUAUGAAGAAGGCCUUCGGGUUGUAAAGUACUUUCAGUCGUGAGGAAGGUGUUAAGGUUAAUAACCUUAGCAAUUGACGUUAGCGACAGAAGAAGCACCGGCUAACUCCGUGCCAGCAGCCGCGGUAAUACGGAGGGUGCGAGCGUUAAUCGGAAUUACUGGGCUAAAGGGCACGCAGGCGGUUAAUUAAGUUGGAUGUGAAAUCCCCGGGCUUAACCUGGGAAUGGCAUUCAAGACUGGUUAGCUAGAGUCUUGUAGAGGGGGUAGAAUUCCAUGUGUAGCGGUGAAAUGCGUAGAGAUGUGGAGGAAUACCGGGUGGCGAAGGCGGCCCCUGGGACAAAGACUGACGCUCAUGUGCGAAAGCGUGGGGAGCAAACAGGGAUUAGAUACC